AGUGAACGCUGGCGGUAGGCCUAACACAUGCAAGUCGAACGGCAGCACAGUAAGAGCUUGCUCUUACGGGUGGCGAGUGGCGGACGGGUGAGGAAUACAUCGGAAUCUACUUUUUCGUGGGGGAUAACGUAGGGAAACUUACGCUAAUACCGCAUACGACCUACGGGUGAAAGCAGGGGAUCUUCGGACCUUGCGCGAUUGAAUGAGCCGAUGUCGGAUUAGCUAGUUGGCGGGGUAAAGGCCCACCAAGGCGACGAUCCGUAGCUGGUCUGAGAGGAUGAUCAGCCACACUGGAGCUGAGACACGGUCCAGACUCCUACGGGAGGCAGCAGUGGGGAAUAUUGGACAAUGGGCGCAAGCCUGAUCCAGCGAUACCGCGUGGGUGAAGAAGGCCUUCGGGUUGUAAAGCCCUUUUGUUGGGAAAGAAAAGCAGCAGGUUAAUACCCCGCUGUUCUGACGGUACCCAAAGAAUAAGCACCGGCUAACUUCGUG
RNAcentral lists this ribosomal RNA (492 nucleotides) under uncultured bacterium. Its description in RNAcentral is "partial 16S ribosomal RNA". It matches the Rfam family "Bacterial small subunit ribosomal RNA", at positions 29 to 507 of the family's 1533-position model. The record is from RNAcentral.